This 406-nucleotide ribosomal RNA is filed under the name uncultured bacterium. RNAcentral's name for it is "partial 16S ribosomal RNA". It matches the Rfam family "Bacterial small subunit ribosomal RNA", at positions 30 to 526 of the family's 1533-position model. The record is from RNAcentral.
AUUGAACGCUGGCGGCAGGCCUAACACAUGCAAGUCGAGCGAGCGGCGGACGGGUGAGUAAUGUAUGGGGAUCUGCCCGAUAGAGGGGGAUAACUACUGGAAACGGUAGCUAAUACCGCAUACCAUAGGAUGAGCCCAAGUGGGAUUGGGUAGUUGGUGAGGUAAAGGCUCACCAAGCCGACGAUCUCUACCUUGUCUGAGAGGAUGCCCAGCCACACGGGGACUGAGACACGGCCCAGACUCCUACGGGAGGCAGCAGUGGGGAAUAUUGCGCAAUGGGGGCAAUCCUGACGCAGCCAUGCCGCGUGAAGGAAGAAGGCCUUCGGGUUGUAAAGUUCUUUCGGUAGCGAGGCGUUAACUACAGAAGAAGCACCGGCUAACUCCGUGCCAGCAGCCGCGGUAAUAC